RNAcentral lists this ribosomal RNA (648 nucleotides) under Naineris quadricuspida. RNAcentral describes it as "partial 16S ribosomal RNA". The stretch from base 1 to 543 matches the Rfam family "Bacterial large subunit ribosomal RNA", at positions 1922 to 2925 of the family's 2925-position model. The record is from RNAcentral. Lineage: Eukaryota; Metazoa; Annelida; Polychaeta; Orbiniidae.
GUUCAACGGCCGCGGUAUCCUGACCGUGCUAAGGUAGCGUAAUCAUUUGCCUCUUAAUUGGUGGCCUGUAUGAACGGACAAACGAGAGCUAAACUGUCUCCUACUUACAACUAAAACCUAACCUUCAGGUGAAAAGGCCUGAAUAGUUUUAUAGGACGAGAAGACCCUAUCAAGCUUAACUAAAACCCCACACCAAAAAAUAUUAAUAUAAUCUUCUAUGUGGCUUCUUAGUUUAGUUGGGGCGACUGGGGACCAGAACUAACGUCCCCCCUUAACCUAAGGAUAAUAAUCCAAUAAAACUGACCCGUAUUUAACGACCAAGAGAAAAGCUACUGUAGGGAUAACAGGCUAAUCUUCCUCAAGAGCCCAAAUCGAAAGGAAGGCUUGGCACCUCGAUGUUGGCUUAAGACACCCCUAAAGUGCAGCAGCUUUAAAAGGUAGGUUUGUUCACCCUUUAAAGUCUUACAUGAGCUGAGUUCAGACCGGCGUAAGCCAGGUCAGAUUCUAUCCAUAAAACAACAAAAUUAUAUAUUGCUUAAUUGUACGAAAGGACCCUAAUCAACUAAAUAAAUAUAGAAAAGAAACAAAUAUUACCUAUAAUAUAAAUCAAAUUAUACUACUCUUCCUCGACCAUGCUCCUCGAGGGGG